GAGCUUCCUCCACGCGCCGUGCAGUCUCCACGGCGACGCUGCGUUCCCGACUCGGAGCCCCCAGCUCCGCGCGAGCAGCUAGCCGGGCUGGCUCUCGGUGUGUGCCCUUCGGAUGGUCUGCUGAAGAGGGCCGCCAGCUGGUAAGACACUCCGAGGCAACGACCGGUCUCCCUCUCCCUAGCCCGGUGUGCAGUCUGACCCAGCCCCCACAGCAGACCACCCCCAGACCGGGCGCCCGAGUCUGCGGACCGCUCUACCGCACCUGGUUCUGGCUCUGGGCCCCGGGCCCCGUGGCUGCCAGGGGCCGCCGGGAAGGGAGGAUGCGCGCCACUGGGGUGCGCCUGGCUUGCGGCACCCUCCUCCCGCAGUGGUCGGAAGAGAAAAAGUGAUGAUUGAAUCAAACGAAGCAAUGUCAGAGUAAGAAGAUGUCUUUGAUUGUGCAGCUGAUCUCUCCCAUGCCUUUUAAGCAAUUAGAACUAGAUAAUGCAGCCAUUUGUCACCCAAUUAAAUUUGAAAGGCCAGAAAUGCAUGGAUUAGCACUUCAGCUUUUGCUGCAGUCAAAGCAAUUGUUACUAUAGAUAGAAGGACAGUUAAAAUGAAAAAUGAAUUUUGAUAAAAAUGCAGAAGUAUAGAUAAUAUUCACUUCUACUUUUUAAUGCUUAAACACCCUGUAUUCUGUAUUUUACUUGUAUCAUAAUUUUCAUUGCUCAUUCCUAUUUCCCUUUGAUACUUAUUUCUUUCACAAUAUUUCUUCAAGUGAAUAUGUACUUUAAAAUUAACAAAUUAUUUACUAUAACAUGAAUUGUUACUACUCAAUAAAGAAAGUAAUCACCUCAACUAGUUGAAGAAACUGGUGUUAAAAAAAUUGUAUUCUUUCCAGCCUUUUGGCUAAGAUCAAGUGUAAAAAAAUCACAGUACAAUAUCAAUUUAGUAGCUAAAUUUUAAAUAUCUUCUCUGUUCAAGGCUCUGAUUCUGAUAAUCUAUUAAAGCCCUUCCUGUAGUCAUCUCCUACUUUCUGAAAAAAAAAUCUCUAUUUAUUCUAUGAAAAAUUACAGCUUGAAAGUUGAUCAUAAACACAUUUGUGGGGAUUACUGACAAAUUAGUAGGUACUAUUCUGGUGGGAUUCUUCUAUUCAAAUUCAUACUGUUUUUGUUUAUUCUAAAUAUUGACUGGGAAAAAUUCUACCCUAGACAACAUAUAUUUAAAUUUUCAUAUUGUCAAAACGAAAAAUGUCCACCUUGGCUUUUGUUGUAAAUUAUAUGUAUAUUACAUAUUAUAUAAUACAUGUUUUUAUAUUAAAGAGAAAGUAAUGUAUAGCAAA
RNAcentral lists this long non-coding RNA (1321 nucleotides) under Homo sapiens (human). RNAcentral's name for it is "HSALNT0307110". Lineage: Eukaryota; Metazoa; Chordata; Mammalia; Primates; Hominidae. The record is from RNAcentral.